UGUUAAAAAUUUUAUCUAUAUGUACUAUUAAAAACUACUGUGAUUGACGAAAUAACCAGGCAAUAAUACUUGACAUGUCACGUGUUACUAACGUAUAAAAACUCAUUUCUAACAGUAGAAAUGGAUGAAAUUUUUAAUA
MicroRNA precursor from Gossypium arboreum, 139 nucleotides. It matches the Rfam family "MIR7502 microRNA precursor family". NCBI's taxonomy places the organism in Eukaryota, Viridiplantae, Streptophyta, Magnoliopsida, Malvales, Malvaceae. The record is from Rfam.